UUUAAAUGCUAAAAACUCAUACGCAUUCAAAUUUUGAUUAAAUUCUUAGAUCAGCUGGUCAAGGCUGAGAAGAUUAGGUAUCACUUUUAUUUCUUUCCAACUAAGCAAUCACCUUACCUCAAAAUCAACAGUAGGAGUUAAAAUCUUACAUUAAAAAGCAUGCAUGCAAUUAAUAAGAAGUAAAAAUGGUUGUAUUGCUUUAGAGUUCGUUCACAACAUACUCUUAUUACACAAUGAAAUAGCAAAUUAAGGGCCCCUAUUAUUAAAGAGGAGGAUGGGGAGUCGCUGGCGAUGUAUGAGCUGGUGUAUAGUCAAUCACUAUUGAAUCAGCUUGAAUUUCUGUUUCUUUUUCCAUUCAUAAACCUUCGCUGGACUUGCAUAAGCUUGUUUUGAUUCCAUUUCUCUUCUUCCAAUGCCUGCUGCUAAGUACAACAACAAUAGGAAAAAAAAAGUUAAUCACUAUUAUCCUGAAAAGGUGGAUUCAGAAUUCAAUUCGAUGGAACUAUAUAUCCUUUUAGAGUUCUUGGUACUAAAUUUAUUGUACAUAAGAUAUCAUGGGUUUAAUAUAUAAUAUUAUUUAAAUUUACACUGAGUUCAAGUUAACAAAUAUAGAUCCAGGAUUUAACUUUGAUGAAUUUAACCAUUAAAGUUCGUAGCGCGGAUCUUAUUGCACAUCUGAUAUUAUGGCUUAAAAUUGAAAUAUACUAAUAUUUGUUACUAAAAUUUAAUGAUUAUAUAUAUAUAUAUAUAUAUAUAGCUAGUAAGAUGAAAAAUAAUUAUGUCAAAUGAAAGAGGGUGCAUUACCUUCUGUCACUGUUAAUAUGGAACAAACCAAAAAGAUGGUCUUGAGAAGAAGAAAAUUGUUUGUUGCAACAGCCUUCAUCUUCAAGACUACUGCUUCAAAAAAAU
Molecule: long non-coding RNA, 909 nt
Filed under: Nicotiana tabacum (common tobacco)
Lineage: Eukaryota; Viridiplantae; Streptophyta; Magnoliopsida; Solanales; Solanaceae
Description: long non-coding RNA (NTAB_LNC011000)
Source: RNAcentral